This 256-nucleotide small RNA is filed under the name Arabidopsis thaliana (thale cress). Its description in RNAcentral is "ATSL074690". The record is from RNAcentral. Lineage: Eukaryota; Viridiplantae; Streptophyta; Magnoliopsida; Brassicales; Brassicaceae.
AUAUAAUAUAUAUAUAUAUUUGAUAUAUUUAUACAAUUAUUAAUUUAUAAUAUAAAUGGGACCAUAUAUUUACAUAGAAUUUUCAAAAAAAUUAUUAUCUUAUUAAUUUAUCGAUUUGUGUAACUUUUUACACUGGUCCCAACUUGGGACCGGAAGAAUUUAUUAAUUUACAGAGGUUAUUAAUUUAUAGAGUAUUAAUUUAUGAGGUUCUACUGUAAACUACUGUGACAUUUUUCAUAACUUAACUUGGAAAAAA